RNAcentral lists this non-coding RNA (26 nucleotides) under Homo sapiens (human). Lineage: Eukaryota; Metazoa; Chordata; Mammalia; Primates; Hominidae. The record is from RNAcentral.
UGAACACUUGUGGACCAGAGAUGAGC